RNAcentral lists this ribosomal RNA (597 nucleotides) under Tachycnemis seychellensis. RNAcentral's name for it is "partial 16S ribosomal RNA". It matches the Rfam family "Bacterial large subunit ribosomal RNA", at positions 1797 to 2620 of the family's 2925-position model. The record is from RNAcentral. Lineage: Eukaryota; Metazoa; Chordata; Amphibia; Anura; Hyperoliidae.
CGCCUGUUUAUCAAAAACAUCGCCUCUUGCUUUACAUAAGAGGUCCCGCCUGCCCUGUGACUUAGUUUAACGGCCGCGGUAUUAUAACCGUGCGAAGGUAGCAUAAUAAAUUGUUCUCUAAAUAAGGACUAGUAUGAAAGGCAUCACGAGGGCUUAACUGUCUCCCUUUUUCAAUCAAUGAAACUGAUCUUCUCGUGAAGAAGCGAGAAUAAAUUUAUAAGACGAGAAGACCCCAUGGAGCUUUAAACUUCUCACCACUUAUUUAUCAUUACACCACUAUAUAUAAUAAAAAUGUUAAUUGAAAGUUUUCGGCUGGGGUGACCCUGGAGAAAAAUAAAUCCUCCAGGAUGAACGGAAUAAAAUCCUAAUCAAAGAGCUACAGCUCUAAGAAUCAAAACACUGACAUCAUUGACCCAACCAUUUGAUCAACGAACCAAGUUACCCUGGGGAUAACAGCGCAAUCCAUUUCAAGAGCCCCUAUCGACAAAUGGGUUUACGACCUCGAUGUUGGAUCGGGGUAUCCCAGUGGCGCAGCCGCUACUAAAGGUUCGUUUGUUCAACGAUUAAUAACCCCACGUGAUCUGAGUUCAGACCGGA